UACAGAGGUCUCAAGCGUUGUUCGGAUUCAUUGGGCGUAAAGAGUGCGUAGGCGGCGCGGUAAGUCGGGUGUGAAAUCUCGGGGCUUAACUCCGAAACUGCAUUCGAUACUGCCGUGCUUGAGGACUGGAGAGGAGACUGGAAUUUACGGUGUAGCGGUGAAAUGCGUAGAUAUCGUAAGGAAGACCAGUGGCGAAGGCGGGUCUCUGGACAGUUCCUGACGCUGAGGCACGAAGGUCAGGGGAGCAAACGGG
Molecule: ribosomal RNA, 253 nt
Filed under: uncultured bacterium
Lineage: Bacteria
Description: partial 16S ribosomal RNA
Rfam family: Bacterial small subunit ribosomal RNA
Source: RNAcentral